CAGGGAAUAGUUUAUGGAGAAUGCCAGCUUUGGGGGUUGGUGGUGGGGUGCGAGCCUCUUCCUUGA
Molecule: transfer RNA, 66 nt
Filed under: Cephalopachus bancanus (Horsfield's tarsier)
Lineage: Eukaryota; Metazoa; Chordata; Mammalia; Primates; Tarsiidae
Description: tRNA-Pro
Source: RNAcentral